GCUACGGGAGGCAGCAGUGAGGAAUAUUGGUCAAUGGGCGCGAGCCUGAACCAGCCAAGUAGCGUGAAGGAUGACUGCCCUACGGGUUGUAAACUUCUUUUAUAAAGGAAUAAAGUGAGGCACGUGUGCCUUUUUGUAUGUACUUUAUGAAUAAGGAUCGGCUAACUCCGUGCCAGCAGCCGCGGUAAUACGGAGGAUCCGAGCGUUAUCCGGAUUUCUUGGGUUUAAAGGGGGCGUAGAUGGGUUGUUAAGUCAGUUGUGAAAGUUUGGGGCUCAACCGUAAAAUUGCAAUUGAUACUGGCAGUCUUGAGUGGAGGUGAGGUAUGCGGAAUGCGUGGUGUAGCGGUGAAAUGCUUAGAUAUCACGAAGAACUCCGAUUGCGAAGGCAGCUUACU
This 395-nucleotide ribosomal RNA is filed under the name uncultured bacterium. RNAcentral's name for it is "partial 16S ribosomal RNA". It matches the Rfam family "Bacterial small subunit ribosomal RNA", at positions 338 to 730 of the family's 1533-position model. The record is from RNAcentral.